GCCCGUGAAGCUCAACUGGAUGAGAGCAACGGUUUUGUAAACCGAAGGAAGCAGGUUCAAGCCCUGUCACGGGCCC
Molecule: transfer RNA, 76 nt
Filed under: Bacillota bacterium
Lineage: Bacteria; Bacillati; Bacillota
Description: tRNA-Thr
Rfam family: tRNA
About the family: Transfer RNA (tRNA) molecules are approximately 80 nucleotides in length. Their secondary structure includes four short double-helical elements and three loops (D, anti-codon, and T loops).
Source: RNAcentral